GUAGGUGGCAAGCGUUGUCCGGAAUUAUUGGGCGUAAAGCGCGCGCAGGCGGUUCUUUAAGUCUGAUGUGAAAGCCCACGGGCUCAACCGUGGAGGGUCAUUGGAAACUGGAGAACUUGAGUACAGAAGAGGAAAGCGGAAUUCCACGUGUAGCGGUGAAAUGCGUAGAGAUGUGGAGGAACACCAGUGGCGAAGGCGGCUUUCUGGUCUGUAACUGACGCUGAGGCGACGAAAGCGGUGGGGAGACAAACAGGAUUAGACUACCCUGGUAGUCCACGACCGUAAACGAUGAGUGCUAGUUUAGGGGGUUUCCGCCCCUUAGUGCUGCAGCUAACGCAUUAAGCACUCCGCCUGGGGAGUACGGCCGCAAAGGCUG
Molecule: ribosomal RNA, 376 nt
Filed under: uncultured organism
Description: partial 16S ribosomal RNA
Rfam family: Bacterial small subunit ribosomal RNA
Source: RNAcentral